AUACGGAGGGGGCUAGCGUUGUUCGGAAUUACUGGGCGUAAAGCGCGCGUAGGCGGACUGAUCAGUUGGGGGUGAAAUCCCAGGGCUUAACCCUGGAACUGCCUCCAAUACUGUCAGUCUUGAGUUCGGGAGAGGUGAGUGGAAUUCCUAGUGUAGAGGUGAAAUUCGUAGAUAUUAGGAAGAACACCAGUGGCGAAGGCGGCUCACUGGCCCGAUACUGACGCUGAGGCGCGAAAGCGUGGGGAGCAAACAGGAUUAGAAACCCGGGUAGUCC
This 274-nucleotide ribosomal RNA is filed under the name uncultured bacterium. Its description in RNAcentral is "partial 16S ribosomal RNA". It matches the Rfam family "Bacterial small subunit ribosomal RNA", at positions 523 to 796 of the family's 1533-position model. The record is from RNAcentral.